RNAcentral lists this ribosomal RNA (253 nucleotides) under uncultured bacterium. RNAcentral describes it as "partial 16S ribosomal RNA". It matches the Rfam family "Bacterial small subunit ribosomal RNA", at positions 524 to 776 of the family's 1533-position model. The record is from RNAcentral.
UACGAAGGGGGCUAGCGUUGCUCGGAAUCACUGGGCGUAAAGGGCGCGUAAGCGGUGCGGUAAGUCCGCAGUGAAAUCUCUGGGCUCAACUCAGAGUCUGCUGUGGAAACUGCCGUGCUUGAGUGUGGCAGAGGGGGGUGGAAUUCCACGUGUAGCAGUGAAAUGCGUAGAGAUGUGGAGGAACACCGAUGGCGAAGGCAGCCCCCUGGGCUAACACUGACGCUCAUGCACGAAAGCGUGGGGAGCAAACAGG